RNAcentral lists this transfer RNA (60 nucleotides) under Dipodomys ordii (Ord's kangaroo rat). The record is from Rfam by way of RNAcentral. Lineage: Eukaryota; Metazoa; Chordata; Mammalia; Rodentia; Heteromyidae.
AUGACUCAGUGGUAGAGUGCUUGCCUUGCAUGCAUGAAGUCCUGGGUUUGAUCCCUCAGU